This is a non-coding RNA of Hypoxylon sp. FL1150, 72 nucleotides long. The record is from the annotation of a GenBank genome assembly. NCBI's taxonomy places the organism in Eukaryota, Fungi, Ascomycota, Sordariomycetes, Xylariales, Hypoxylaceae.
GACGAUAUAGUGUAAUGGCCAACACAACUCGGUCUCACCGAGAAGCUCGGGGUUCGAUUCCCUGUAUCGGAG